Molecule: non-coding RNA, 212 nt
Organism: Pimephales promelas (fathead minnow)
Lineage: Eukaryota; Metazoa; Chordata; Actinopteri; Cypriniformes; Leuciscidae
Source: RefSeq, a predicted model, not a curated record
CUGAGCUAUGAAGGAGGUGUUCCGGACUCUCUGCUCUCCUACAGGAUGACAGCUGGUGAGGAGCCGGCCUCUCCAAUGAGGAAACCAGCGACAUGCAAGAGAGCGGCGAAGCUCGAAGCAGCCCCCAAGAUCCUUUGCAUCACUCCUCGGGCCAAUCAUCUCUGUUUGAGAAUAAAGUAAAUCCUACAUGUUGGGAACGGCGUGAAGGUGAG